CCGGCGACCGGCGCACGGGUGAGUAACACGUAUGCAACCUGGCCGUGACAGAUGGAUAACCGGGAGAAAUCCCGCCUAAUACAACAUAAUGCCGGGAGGGGACAUCCCCUGCCGGUCAAAGGGGGCGACCCCGGUCAUGGAUGGGCAUGCGGCGCAUUAGGUAGUUGGUGGGGCAACGGCCCACCAAGCCGACGAUGCGUAGGGGUUCUGAGAAGAAGGUCCCCCACAUUGGAACUGAGACACGGUCCAAACUCCUACGGAAGGCAGCAG
Molecule: ribosomal RNA, 270 nt
Filed under: uncultured bacterium
Lineage: Bacteria
Description: partial 16S ribosomal RNA
Rfam family: Bacterial small subunit ribosomal RNA
Source: RNAcentral